This 65-nucleotide transfer RNA is filed under the name Raeta pulchella. RNAcentral describes it as "tRNA-Gly". Lineage: Eukaryota; Metazoa; Mollusca; Bivalvia; Venerida; Anatinellidae. The record is from RNAcentral.
GCAAUAAGAGUAUGAGAGAAGUAUGUCUGUCUUCCAAACAGAAGGUCCAACAUUUGGUUAUUGUU